AUUUUGCUUGGUAAAACCAAUCCCUCCAGAGGUGCCAAAGAUUCCAUCUUCAACCUUUGGCUUUGGUUUAGGUGCAGCCUUAAAAAGUACAAAAAUUGAGUAUAGAUUAAAGUUCAAGUUCAACUUAAACACUCAUUAUAAAAAAAAAAAAGAAACACCCCCAGAAGAAAAUAUAAAAGAAAUUACCUUCUUAGGAGCUGCUUUGGUCUUUGGUUUGAAGAGUGCAAAAGUGGUGAAAGCUUUAGAUGAUGAAGCAGCAACAGUGUUAGAGUGUGGAUUGAAUAAGAAAUGAGAGGAGGGUUUAGGCUUUAACCCUUGAGCUUGAAAAUGGAGUAAAGGGUGAUCUCUCUUCAAGUUCACAACAUGGCUGGUUGAAACGCUGGUACUUGACAUUACCAGCAUUGUUUGAGCCAUUGAUUAAAAUUUCUGAGAUAUGUU
This 438-nucleotide long non-coding RNA is filed under the name Gossypium barbadense (sea-island cotton). Its description in RNAcentral is "long non-coding RNA (GBAR_LNC000919)". The record is from RNAcentral. Lineage: Eukaryota; Viridiplantae; Streptophyta; Magnoliopsida; Malvales; Malvaceae.